This 460-nucleotide ribosomal RNA is filed under the name uncultured bacterium. RNAcentral describes it as "partial 16S ribosomal RNA". It matches the Rfam family "Bacterial small subunit ribosomal RNA", at positions 338 to 795 of the family's 1533-position model. The record is from RNAcentral.
CCUACGGGUGGCAGCAGUGAGGAAUAUUGGUCAACGGACGAGAGUCUGAACCAGCCAAGUAGCGUGAAGGAUGACUGCCCUAUGGGUUGUAAACUUCUUUUAUAUGGGAAUAAAACGUUCCACGUGUGGGAUUUUGUAUGUACCAUAUGAAUAAGGAUCGGCUAACUCCGUGCCAGCAGCCGCGGUAAUACGGAGGAUCCGAGCGUUAUCCGGAUUUAUUGGGUUUAAAGGGAGCGUAGGUGGAUUGUUAAGUCAGUUGUGAAAGUUUGCGGCUCAACCGUAAAAUUGCAGUUGAAACUGGCAGUCUUGAGUACAGUAGAGGUGGGCGGAAUUCGUGGUGUAGCGGUGAAAUGCUUAGAUAUCACGAAGAACUCCGAUUGCGAAGGCAGUUCACUGGACUGCAACUGACACUGAGGCUCGAAAGUGUGGGUAUCAAACAGGAUUAGAUACCCUUGUAGUC